GGAAGUAAAAAUCGUAACAAGGUUUCCGUAGGUGAACCUGCGGAAGGAUCAUUAUUGUAUAACCGAGGUGCGAGGGCUGUCGCUGACCCGAAAGGUCGUGCACGCCCGAGUGCCCUCACACACAUCCAUCUCACCCCUAUGUGCACCACCGCGUGGGUCCCCCCUUUGGCUUGUUCGGAGGGGGGCUUACGUUUUCACACAAACUUUGUAUGCAGUGUAGAAUGUAUUUUCUGUUUUUGCGAUCACGCAAUCAAUACAACUUUCAACAACGGAUCUCUUGGCUCUC
This 286-nucleotide unclassified non-coding RNA is filed under the name plant metagenome. RNAcentral's name for it is "partial contains small subunit ribosomal RNA, internal transcribed spacer 1, and 5.8S ribosomal RNA". The stretch from base 1 to 54 matches the Rfam family "Eukaryotic small subunit ribosomal RNA", at positions 1778 to 1831 of the family's 1831-position model. The record is from RNAcentral.